UGGGGAAUUUUGGACAAUGGGCGCAAGCCUGAUCCAGCCAUUCCGCGUGCAGGACGAAGGCCUUCGGGUUGUAAACUGCUUUUGUACGGAACGAAAAGGCUCUGGCUAAUACCUGGGGCUCAUGACGGUACCGUAAGAAUAAGCACCGGCUAACUACGUGCCAGCAGCCGCGGUAAUACGUAGGGUGCACGCGUUAAUCGGAAUUACUGGGCGUAAAGCGUGCGCAGGCGGUUAUGUAAGACAGAGGUGAAAUCCCCGGGCUCAACCUGGGAACUGCCUUUGUGACUGCAUAGCUGGAGUACGGCAGAGGGGGAUGGAAUUCCGCGUGUAGCAGUGAAAUGCGUAGAUAUGCGGAGGAACACCGAUGGCGAAGGCAAUCCCCUGGGCCUGUACUGACGCUCAUGCACGAAAGCGUGGGG
This 419-nucleotide ribosomal RNA is filed under the name uncultured bacterium. RNAcentral describes it as "bacterial SSU rRNA". It matches the Rfam family "Bacterial small subunit ribosomal RNA", at positions 355 to 766 of the family's 1533-position model. The record is from RNAcentral.